AAAUUAUUAUUGUGCAAUUCAAUUUAAUUUGAUUAUUAAUGAUCUUACUUUUUUUAUUAUAUUUAUU
Molecule: transfer RNA, 67 nt
Filed under: Sieboldius albardae
Lineage: Eukaryota; Metazoa; Arthropoda; Insecta; Odonata; Gomphidae
Description: tRNA-Leu
Source: RNAcentral